Molecule: ribosomal RNA, 253 nt
Filed under: uncultured bacterium
Lineage: Bacteria
Description: partial 16S ribosomal RNA
Rfam family: Bacterial small subunit ribosomal RNA
Source: RNAcentral
GACGAAGGGGGCUAGCGUUGUUCGGAAUUACUGGGCGUAAAGCGCGUGUAGGCGGUUGUCCAAGUUGGAUGUGAAAGCCUUGAGCUUAACUCAAGAAAUGCAUUCAGGACUGGAUGACUAGAGGACCGGAGAGGAUAGUGGAAUUCCCAGUGUAGUGGUGAAAUACGUAGAGAUUGGGAAGAACACCAGUGGCGAAGGCGACUACCUGGCCUGUUCUUGACGCUGAGGCGCGAAAGCUAGGGGAGCAAACGGG